CUGGCUGGGGGGGAGGGGAUUUGGGGUCAAAAAUUUGGGGGGGAAAGGUUUUUAUGGGGUGAAAAAGGGGGAUUGGGCACUCCCACCUUCCCUUUAAGUGGAGGGAUGGGAAGGAUUGAGAAUUUGGGGUGAAAAAUAAAGGGAAAGGUUUUUAUGGGGUGAAAAUAGGGGAAUUGGGCACUCCCACCUUCCCUUUAAGUGGAGGGAUGGGAAGGAUUGAGAAUUUAGGGGGAUUUUGGGGUGAAAAAUAAAAGGAAAGUUUUUUAUGGGGUGAAAAUAGGGGAAUUGGGCACUCCCACCUUCCCUUUAAGUGGAGGGAUGGGAAGGAUUGAGACUUUAGGGGGA
This is a long non-coding RNA of Malurus melanocephalus (red-backed fairy wren), 345 nucleotides long. RefSeq lists it as uncharacterized. The record is from RefSeq and is a predicted model, not a curated record. NCBI's taxonomy places the organism in Eukaryota, Metazoa, Chordata, Aves, Passeriformes, Maluridae. The transcript has 2 exons.